UUUUAUUUGUGUGUGUGUGCUUUUGUACCUCAGUUCAGGCCCAAAGCCGUGCGAAGCCUGCCGCCAAGAGAAGAUCUACGAGGAGCCCACCUCCAUCCUCAACAUCAGCGAGGCCUUUCCGGACAACGCGGCCGGUCGAGAAAUAGCGAGCCUGCCCGCGCAGUGUUUGAAUGCGGGUUGCAGCUGGAAAGGAUCCAUUAAA
This is a long non-coding RNA of Hippocampus comes (tiger tail seahorse), 202 nucleotides long. RefSeq lists it as uncharacterized. The transcript has 2 exons. NCBI's taxonomy places the organism in Eukaryota, Metazoa, Chordata, Actinopteri, Syngnathiformes, Syngnathidae. The record is from RefSeq and is a predicted model, not a curated record.